GAUCCCGUGGCUCAAUGGUUAGAGCGUUGGACUUCCAAUCAACAGGUUACGGGCUCG
This 57-nucleotide transfer RNA is filed under the name Schistocephalus solidus. It matches the Rfam family "tRNA". Rfam says of the family: Transfer RNA (tRNA) molecules are approximately 80 nucleotides in length. The record is from Rfam by way of RNAcentral. Lineage: Eukaryota; Metazoa; Platyhelminthes; Cestoda; Diphyllobothriidea; Diphyllobothriidae.